CGGUAGCUGGACCCACCGGGCUCAACCGAGCAAACCCAGCCUCUCUCGUCCGCACAGGACAACAACCCACCUCACGGG
Regulatory RNA element from Thauera sp. 27, 78 nucleotides. It matches the Rfam family "DUF3085 RNA". NCBI's taxonomy places the organism in Bacteria, Pseudomonadati, Pseudomonadota, Betaproteobacteria, Rhodocyclales, Zoogloeaceae. The record is from Rfam.